Xyrichtys novacula (pearly razorfish) is the source of this 7775-nucleotide non-coding RNA. NCBI's taxonomy places the organism in Eukaryota, Metazoa, Chordata, Actinopteri, Labriformes, Labridae. The record is from the annotation of a GenBank genome assembly.
UUUCUCGGUGUUGUUGUUUGUGUGUUUCCAUGGUAACGGCAGCAGCAGUGAAGGACGUGAAUCCUCGGUGUCUCUCAUCAUCUCGAGUUCGCUCUCUGAUUCUGUUCCCGUGUCGUUCCUGCAGCUGAACUGGGACUGCAGGACGGUUCAUGUUCCUGGUUCUGUAAAUCUGGACGGUUGAGGCGGGUCGGCGCCGUGGUCACUGACUGACCUUUCCCUGCAGUGACUGUCUCCAUCUUCACCUCCUGGUCUGUUGUUGGUCUCCUGGUUUGAUGAAUGUCUCUCAGUCCUCACGUCUUCGUCCCUCACAGACGCUCCUGUCACACCUUCUCUGAAACUCUUCCUCUCCAUCUUUAGACCCUCGGGGAUCAGCGCCGCAGCAACACGCCGCCUGUUUCCUGGUUCAGAACGAUCCUGUGGUGAUUCACUUCCUGUUCCCCUCCCAUCCUGCAGCUCUGGCUCCAGGAAGACCAACAAUUCAUCCAGGACCUCAAAGGUUUCCUAUCACACACACACACACACACACACACACAUGCACACACACACACACAUACACAUAUUGUCUUUGUUGUCUAUCACUGAUGUCUAAAAAGUAGAGACAUGGGGGGGGGACAGGGACACAAACAGACAAACUGUUGAUUUAUAUGAAGUGCUCUGUUAUUUAUACAGUAUAUAUAAAUAUAUAUAAUAUUACACUUAUAUUUUGACCCUCUUAGACCUACUUCCUGGUGUUAAACGUGUUAAUUUCCUUUUUUCUUUUUAGACUUUCAAACAUUUCAACCUUCUUUAAAUGAUAAUAAAAAACUUUAAUGAUUCAGACGUAACGAUCAAAAUUAAUCAGGAAAUGAUUGAAACUGUUGGUGUCUCUCCUGAAGGUUUUUCCUUCAUUUUAUUCCAGUUCUUCUUUAAAACGCUGAGAUUAGAUCUGAGAUUCUGGGUCCUGAAGGAGACCUGACCCUGUCUCGGUCUGCUGUGGUCUGAGUCCUGAUAACAGGGUCUGAGGGUCUCUCAGGUGUUUGGGAGUCCCUGUUCUGGUCCUGGUGUUCCUUCCCCGUAUCUCUGCUCACUAAUCUGCUUAGUUCCUCGCUGUGGUGAAUGUAAAUAUAGAAGUUCUGAUCCUCUUACAGGAGGACUUGGACCAGGAUUUGGAGACUCACAGCCUGUCAGCUGCAGUUCUGUUUCUGUGGUUUAGGGGGCGCUGUGUGUGCUGACUCCGCCUCUGUUGGCCUCUCUGUGUCCUGGAGACUGAAGCUUCACAAACUCAGAAACACUGAGAAAGAAAAUAAAGAAAAUAAGAAAAUUAAGAAAAUAAAGAAACAAAGAAAAUAAAGAAAAAAAGAAAACAAAGGAAACAAAGAAAAUUAAAACUUAAAGAAAAUUCAAAAAUAAAGAAAAAAAAAAUAAAGAAAAAAAAAAAAUAAAGAAAAUAAAAAAUAAAGAAAAUAAAAAAAUAAAGAAAAUAAAGGAAAUAAAGAAAAUAAAGGAAAUAAAGAAAAUAAAGAAAAUAAAAAAAUUAAGAAAAUAAAGAAAAUUAAAACUUGAAGAAAAUUCAAAAAUAAAGAAAAAAUAAAUAAAGAAAAUAAAAAAUAAAAAAAUAAAGAUAAAGAAAAUAAAAAGAAAAUUCAAAAAUAAAGAAAAAAUUAAAUAAAGAAAAUAAAGAAAAAAGAGAAAAUAAACAAAGAAAAUAAAAAAAAUAAAGAAAAUUAAAAAAUAAAAAAAUUAAGAAAAUAAAGAAAAUUAAAAAAUAAAAAACAAAGAAAAUUCAAAAAUAAAGAAAAAUUAAAUAAAGAAAAUAAAAAAAAUAAAGAAAAUAAAGAAAAUUAAAAAAUAAAGAAACAAACAAAACAAAGAGCUCUUUUACCCGACAACGAUCAGCUCGGCGUUUGUCUUCUUCAGUGUCAAACAGGAAACUCAAACAUCCAUCAGACGUUUUUUUCUGUUUGUCUCAGAUUCAGAUGUGAUGAGACCGUCUUUGAGACUCUGAUGUCCUCGUUGUCUUAUCGUGUUGGAGACAUGAACACAGUGAAGCUCAAAAACACACCAUCACUUAUCUGCGGUCCGUGUUUGACCUUCUUCUUCUUCAUCUUCAUCAGUCAGGACUGUGAGUGCUGCAGCUGAUACCAACGCCGCCGUCACUGUUAUGACCUCAUCUGUUAACUGAGGAUGACCUCACGUAUCAGCUGAUGGGUCAUGACCAUGAAGACUCAAAUACCUGCAGUUACAAACACACCUGUGCAUACGUUCACCUGUGCAGACGUUCACCUCAGAGUGAUUCAACACGUUCAUUUACAGCUGAACUUUGACCUCCUGUUUGUUUGUUUUCCUCAUAAUCUAAUCCGAGCGAGCUCACUGUCCCGUAAACAUCAGUUUGUUAGGAGACCUUCAGUCUGAGAGAUAGAAACCUCGGGACAGUCAGUCUGUGAAAACAUCUCAAAGUCUUCAGAAGGACGUUUGAGCGUGGAGACGCUGACGAACAUGAGCGCGGUUUACAGCAGAGCGUCAGUAUACACUCGAUAAAGACUGAGUUUGAAGAAUUAAAGUAUAAAAUAAAACACAGAAGUUCAACUCUGAGGAGAAAGUCAAAGCUGUGUAAAGACGAAGAACCGAACACUGAGACGGUUUUAGAGGAGAUGGUGUCAGGAGGUCACCACAGAGAAGGUCAUCAGAAGUUUGGGCUCCACAAAUCUAUUACUAAAUAAUCAUUGAUUAUCUGUUGACACUCCUGAUCACUGAAGCCGGUGAUGAGGACGAAUCAUUGACUAAUAUGAGGAAAUACUUUCUCAUGGUCGAACCUCGAAGAUCAGACCACAACAGUGUCUACAGAGACUCUGAGAACAAACGAGGAGUGUCCUUCAGCUGAGGGAGAACAAACUGACAUCAGGGCGGUGGUAUGUAGGUCCACAUGAGAGAGAGGGAGAGAGGGGGGGAGAGAAAGAGAGCGAGAGACAGAGAGAGAGAGAGAGAGGGAGAGAGAGAGAGAGAGAGAGAGAGGGGCCUUUGUGAGAGUGAGAGUGAGGGGACGAGAGCGUCAGUGUACCACCACACAAUCCACAGUGUGUGUGUGUGUGUGUGUGUGUGUGUGUGUGUGUGUGUGUGUGUGUGUGUGUGUGUGUGUGUGUGUGUGUGUGUGGGCUGGACUCCUCAUUUCAAUCAUUCGACUGUUGAACCACAGACCAGUAUCCGUGUGUUCCCACUACAGAUCCAUCUGGUGUCUGUUUGUCUCUUCAUGUGUGUGCAGCAUCUACACAGUCAGGUCUGAAGAUCUAGGUCCAGGUAGGAAGACUCACCUGUCCUGUUAAAACCGUCUCAGACUGUGUGAGCGAGAGAUCUCAGUGGAAGGACCACAAAACCUCAGAGCUCUAAAACAGAUCAGAAGAUUUCUGAAAGAGUUCCCCAAACCCAUGUAGACCACACCUCCCAAGGUCUCCAAGUGUUCCAGCAGACUUCUGAUGAGGUUCUCAGAGUUCAACAGUUAUCACUAAACCCUCAGACACAGACCUAACCGAGCUUUAAAACAGAGCUCAGACAGACUUUUAUAAUAGUUCUAACAACUGGACUCACUUGGGGUUCUUGAAGAGUUCUAGAGUUCUGACAGAGCCCUAAAGAAGGUCUAACAAAGCUCUCAAAGACUACAAACCAGGUUCUAACAGGGUUCCUCGAGAGCUCCAAAGAGUCAAAAAGAGUUCUUAGCCCCUCCAGGAGGAGUAUGAGCCCACAUAGUUCAGGUCUUUAAUAUCAGAAUCAUCCUUCAGAACAACAACAACAACAACAACAACAACAACAACAACAACAACAACAACAACAACAACAACAACCACAACAACAACAACAACCACAACAACAACAACAACCACAACAACAACAACAACAACAACCACAACAACAACAACCACAACAACAACAACAACAACAACAACAACCACAACAACAACAACAACAACAACAACAACCACAACAACAACAACAACAACAACAACAACAACAACAACAACCACCAUCACCUUCUCAGAAACGCAAACAUGUCUGUUCCUCGUUUGUCCUUUCUGUGCUGCCGUAGAAAUCUGUCUGUGCACGACGUCAGUGAACAAAAACAAGAGGACUUUAUAUUCAAAUACAGAAAUAUCAUUAUUAUAUUAUUAUAUUAUUAUUAUUAUAUUAUUAUUAUAUCAUUAUUAUAUUAUAAUAAUAUUAUUAUUAUAUUAUUAUUAUAUCAUUAUUAUAUCAUUAUUAUAUCAUUAUUAUAUUAUUAUUAUAUCAUUAUUAUAUCAUUAUUAUAUCAUUAUUAUAUCAUUAUUAUAUUAUUAUUAUAUCAUUAUUAUAUUAUUAUUAUAUCAUUAUAAUAUAAUUAUUACAUCAUUAUUAUAUUAUUAUUAUAUCAUUAUUAUAUUAUUAUCAUUAUAUUAUUAUUAUAUUAUUAUAAUAAUGUGAUGUUUCAUGUCCGUCCUCUUCUCCUGCGUCGGUCAAAUCUCUGUUUUCAGUUGUUGUUGUAGUUUAGUGAUCACAGACCUCCUCGGAUGGACUGACCCUCCUGUGGUGGUCUGUGUUCAGGGUUCAGGUUCAGUCUGUUAUGUAAUGACCGAGGAGGACAUGGACUGACAGACGAGUGUUCAGGGAAACACGUGUGGUCCGGUCCGGUCCGGUCCUUUGUGUGGAGGAUCACACUGUUUAUCUCUGUCAGCCUGAGAGUCUGGGACUGACACACACACACACACACACACACACACACACACACACACUGCUAUUUCCUGUCCUGGAGAAAGAAUUCCAGCCGUCACCGCUCUCAUCCUGGGAAGACUCCUCCUUUCCUUUCCUUCUUUCCUGUCCUUCGUUCCCUCGGUGUCUCUCUGUCCGUUGGUCUGAGGUUACUUUAGUUCAAGUCUAUGUUCUCCUCCUGGUUCCAUGGUUCCGGUCCUCGCCCUGGUCCGUUUCUCCUCCGUUUCUCCUCCUCACGCUCCUCUCUGUUCACAAACGUUUCUGUGAUUUCCUCUUCAGAGUAAACAAACACUUGAGUCUGACUCCAGGGUCCAGACUCUGAGUCUGAGUCUGAGUCUGAGUCUGAGUCUGCUCUCAAACUGUCUCCCUUUUAUAAGAAACUCUGAACUGAGAGUUAAAGUGGUUCUGUUGGUUCUGUUGGUUCUGUUGGUCCUGCUGUGUAUUUUCGGACUGUAAACAUGGUCAGACGGGUCCAUGAGAGUCGGACUCUGUUUCCUGCAGUAAUCAUCUCUCCUGUUGCAUAACUUGUUUUUCUUAUUAAUGUUUUUCCCUGUUAUGAAGUUCAGAGAAUAAACACGUGGACCGUGUGAGUCCUGAUCCGUUUGUACGGUGGCCGAGAACGGUGCAGAUAAAAAAAGAAAAGGCACAACGGACGUUCAUGAUGCAAAAAAAAAAGUGUCGACUUCUGUCACUUCUGUCACUUCUGUCACUUCUGUUCAGUAACUUCUGUUGUGACUUUGUCUUCAUGUUAUUCCCUGAAUGUUGAUUGGAUGUUUCUUUGAGUUCGGCUCAGAACGACUCAGUAAACGAUGAAAAUCGAUCCUCAUUUUUCUGCAGGACUGAUCGACCAGCAUGAGGGACUCAGACCCUUUUAGACAGCAUCAUUAGAGCUAACAUGAAGGCUGAUAUUUGUGCUGAUGUUUAUAUUCAUAUUAAUGCUGAUAUCACAGUCAGGAUCUGCUGAAUCCAGCUGACCACAUCACCCCUCACCUCUGUGUCAGCAAAGUCUACACCAACAACUCCUAAACCAAAACCCCAUCCUGAGCUUCAGUACGACCUCCCAGCACCUUCAUCCCUAACAACAACAACAACACGACAACAACACACACACACACACACACACACACACACACACACACGUCUGGACUCUCCCUGUUGUGGUCUUUGUUUCUGGACUCCAUGUUCAGAUAAACUCAGGGUUAUAAUUCUGAAUGACCUUCAGCUGACUGUGGUCGCCCGUCAAUCAGUCUGUCAGUAUACCCCCCUCACACACACACACACACACACACAAACACACACACACGCACACACACACACACACACACACACACGUUCCCAGAGACUCCAACAUCAACAUCUUCACUUCCUGUUGUUGAGCGACUGAACCAACCACCGGAUAAAAUUAAAAGUGACCGUGGUUGGCAUGUUCCAAAACACUUACCCACUCUAACAAACAACACACACACUUACACACAGACACACACUUACACACAGACAAACACACACACAUUUUACUACACACCGUUCCUCCACCACAGUGUUUCACAGAGAUAAAGACCGGAGAGAGUUUAGAGCUUUCCAUCUGCCAAGUUUCCCACUGUUCCCGAAAAACCUGAUGCUUUAGCAAACACACACACACACACACACACACACACACACACACACACACACACACACACACACACACACACACACACACACACACACACACACACACCUUGUCACUCCUGGAAGCUCUCCAGAAUAAGCGAAGCUCGACUUGGAUGUUUGUUGUUUUAGUAGUUUGGCUGAAGUUCCCAGGUUGACUGUGUCACUUACACACACACACACACACACACACACACACAUAUAUAUAUAUAUAUAUAUAUAUAUAACCACAUAUGUUUGUACUGUACACUGUCCCCUUUAAUGAGACGCACAGACCGUGACCUUUGACCUUUGAGCCUUGACUAACAGAAAAGCUUGUUAGAGGGAACACAUGUAUUUAUUUUAUAUAUUCAUAAUUAUGUAUUUUUAAUUGUGUUUAUAUAUUAUAUUUAUAAUUAUAUAUUUAUAUUUAUCUGUAUUUAUUUUAUAUAUUUAUUAUUAUAUAUUUAUAUGUUAUUGUAUUUUUAUUACAUAUUUAUUAUUAUAUAAUAAUAAUAAUCUGUAUUUAUAUUAUAUAUUCAUAAUAAUAUAUUUAUAUUUAUCUGUAUUUAUUUUAUAUAUUUAUUAUAAUAUAUUUAUAUUUAUCUGUAUUUAUUUUAUAUAUUUAUUAUAAUAUAUUUAUAUUUAUCUGUAUUUAUUUUAUAUAUUCAUUAUUAUAUAUUUAUAUGUUAUUGUAUUUUUCUUCCUGCAGAGCCUGAUGAGGUUUUAUUGAUGAAUCUUUAGAGAAUCGUGUUUUCUGGGCAGACUGUAGGCCCAAAGUUAGUCUUUAUAAAAUGGUGAUUUGUACUUGAUUUGAGCUGCAGGGGCGUGUCUAGAAGAGGUGGUCAGAGGCAGCGUGGACCCCCCAGGGGCCAAGACCUUCAGGUCUGAGCGGCUCCUCUGUGACAGCAGGUUAGUUCAUGAUCAUUAAAAAACCUUUUCUUUAAAAUGGUGAGAAAUAAAACUUUAUAUUUCUGUUAUUAGAGAGGAGACACUAACGGUUAUUACAGCUCAUGUUUGAUCAUGUUUGUUAUUUUAAACCUUUGAGACUCGUUUAUACAUUUUUAAUUUCAGGAGAUUUAAAUAAACUGAACUUUAAACAUGAAAACAGAAGAACUGUUACACAGUUACUCUGCAGUAAAGAGGCAAAGUGAGCGUGUGCAGUAACCACGUCCCUCCUUCUUUCUGUUCAGAUCUGCAGAACUCGGACCCCGGGUUCAGACUGAGGCCCUGGUCCUGGUCCUGGUUCAGACUGAGGCCCUGGUCCUGGUUCAGACUGAGGCCCUGGUCCUGGUUCAGACUCAGAGAUAAGUCCGGACCUCCGGCCCCCUCCCUUCCUCUCUUUCUCUGGUUUUGUCUAUUUCUGAGUGUUUGUUCCAGGUGGGCGGGGACUCUGACCUUCAGAGUGACCCCUGAGCCCUGACAGGGGGGGGGGG